RNAcentral lists this ribosomal RNA (253 nucleotides) under uncultured bacterium. RNAcentral describes it as "partial 16S ribosomal RNA". It matches the Rfam family "Bacterial small subunit ribosomal RNA", at positions 524 to 776 of the family's 1533-position model. The record is from RNAcentral.
UACGUAGGCAGCAAGCGUUGUUCGGAGUUACUGGGUGUAAAGGGUGCGUAGGCGGCUUUUUAAGUUUGGUGUGAAAUCUCCCGGCUCAACUGGGAGGGUGCGCCGAAUACUGAGAGGCUAGAGUGUGGGAGAGGAAAGUGGAAUUCCUGGUGUAGCGGUGAAAUGCGUAGAUAUCAGGAGGAACACCGGUGGUGUAGACGGCUAUCUGGACCGUAACUGACGCUGAGGCACGAAAGCGUGGGUAGCAAACAGG